UGGAGGGGACGGAGCCACAGCUCGUGAUGGGGGGCCGGCUGUCACCGCUGCUUGCAACCCGGGAAGGCACCGGGGAGGUUAUGCUACAGUCAAAACUGCAGUUGAAAGGGAUUUCUUCUUUCCUUUUAUUUUUGUUAACUUACGGAGGAGGAAAUAAUUUCAGUUCGCUUUAGGAAUCGGUCUUUCCUUUGCACCUGUUUUUCCUAAGUUAGUCUUUGGAACAAUACUGGCUCAAUUAUAGUGAAGUAAUAUCAUGCAUUUUGAGCUUGGGGAAUCCACAGACCGUGUAAUUCUCUGCAUUUCCUCCCCCUUCCUUGCAUCCCACUUUUUGACAGUGUCAUUCUGCUGGAGCUAUGCUGGAAAACCUUGCAAGCUUGCGUGUGCGUGUGUGUGCGCGUGUGUGUGUGUGUCCACACAUGCUGCAUGGAAAAUCCUACACUUUGUUUAGUCUGCAGAACCUCUUCUGUUAGCUAAUGCUCCAGGCUCCUCAAAGGUGCAGAGAGAGAGGAGCACUAGUAAGUACCUAAGGCAGAAAGCAAACAAGGGCUUUAUCACUGGUCUUUAACUCCUAUCAAAAGGGAAGUGAGGGAGAAGUCAUUUAAACAUGAGGCUUGAAUGAAAAUUAGCAUGGAUUAGUCACAGUUGUCCCAGGAGUCCUGUUAUCUCAGGUCACAGGUACUUAUGGUAGGGAGUGGGGAACUUUACCUCUAGGAUCCCCAAAUGAAAGACUCUUGAGGGAGCCAAGAGGGGGAGGAAGAGUCCUGGGUCUGUUUUUAGCCAAAGGGAAUUACCCUUGAGGCAUGGCAGGAGUAGUGUGUGUCUCCCUGUCUUUUCCCAGUGGAUGAGCUCCUGGGCAGUUCAUGCAUGGAGGAAGGAUGACUCUCUAGCCUGUUCCCCACAGGUAAACUGCAACAAAUUGAACUGAUUUGGAGAAACGAGUGGGUUACGUCUGAGCAGCUUCCUUGUUUGGUAGUCAGUUGGCUGAAGAGUGGUUGAUGCUGAUGUUACUUAAUACUAAAUUUACCCUUCUGUGGCCCCUGGCAGAGAGAUCGGGGCAUUCAUCCUCCACUUUGCACAGACUGGAGGGAACAACCUGGCUCCCAUCUUAGUUUUGAAGAACUUCAUUGCUGAAAAAUCAAAUGUGCACGUUCCCUAAGGAACGUAUCCAUUCAAAGGCAUGAAAUAUAAACGUAUAUUGUUACUUGCAAAUGCUUUGCACAAGUACAUUUGCUGGAUGCUUUUGGUAUGUUCUUCAAGCAAGUAGUGUCGUUAGCUGUUAAAUUCUUGACUCCUCUGUUAGGCUUGGGACAGAAAUUACACACAAGCUGGUCUAAGAGAUUGGAAACAGGUUCAGAUCUGGAACACAACAGAAGGAUGGUGCACGUAAGCCACUUUCAAGAUUGCCGAAACGGGUUUAAGAUAAGCCUGGAUGGAUGUAGUAUUAGACUUUAACUGAUUUAGAUUAAAUUGGUUUAUUGUACUUCUGACCCAGACCCUCUCCAGAUUCAUAUUAACACAUAGUCCCCCAGCAUCCCUGGACCUCUGCCAGCCUGCAAGGGAAAAACCACCUUUGCCCACAUUUUCCUCCAUUAAAAGACAAUCCACUCUUAAAGUUUGUUGAUCCAGUUUUAAAGUUUGUUCGUGACCCUUUCAUAGGCACUUGUGACCCCCUUUUGGGACACAACCCGCAAACUGAGAACCGCUGCGGUAGAGCAGCAGGGUCGGUCGCGGAGCGCGCUGCUGCGGAGCGGAGGGGCAGUGCCGCUCAACCCUUUGAGACGGAUCCCACGUACCAGAUCAGACCUCUUUGUGGGCCAGAUGAAGCCUGUGGGCUGUAGAUUGCCACCCCUCUUAUAGCUCCUUUUCAGCUGGGGCUUUGUAGAUGCUUCUGUUACGUUGUUUCUACAUCGAAAGACUCAUGCUACACGGCAGGGUAGGCUUUCACCUCCUAGACUAAGUCAAUCAGAGGUGCGUAAGCUUUUGUAAGCUAGCUUGCUUCUUACCCCUUUCUUUUUCCUCCCUUCCCUACCCUUUGUUUUCCAGUAACUGCUCUCUGUUUAGAACCGCUGCUUCCUGAAACGUCUUGUUUGACAACACAGCCGUCCAAUUUCUGAGUGGCUGGGGCUGCAGCCCCCCUAUCCGCAUGCUGUAGGGGCUGCAUGCCCACCAGAGCCGCAUCCUGCACGAGCUGAAAGGGGUCUGCAGGACCUCCCCAGCCACAGACUCCCUUGCACCAGGACUGUGCCGCCCUGCCUUGGCCCUAGUGCAGAAGGGGUGGCGGGGGGAAGUGGGGACGCAGGAAGCAGAUGCUGGGCUAGGGAAGGGGAUUUUGGUGGCAGCAGCAGCAGCGAAGCGAUGGGGCAAGCAGACUCGGGACUGGGAGUUUGGGAGCUGCACGCAGCACACAGGCCGCCAGUCGGAUGGCCGUAACUGGUUGGCUUUCUGUGGUUUACUCUCCUUAUGUGCUGUCCCUAUAUUCAUUUGAGUUCUCGUUGAGUUUUCCUUUUCUUACUCCUUUUUUGAAACAUCUCCUAGGUUGAUCCUGAUGGUAAAACAAGCGUACCCGUUAAGAUGACUGCGGGGAAAGUAUCCUGUUUUCAUCUACGCGGCCUGCAAAAUCUUAAAAUCUUGAAGACCUGGACUUCUUCAGCUGUGACAUCACAAACCUGAAGGAUUACAGGGAAAGGAUUUUUGAGCUGCUUCAGGAGAUCACCUACCUGGAUUGAUUUGAUCAGGAAGAAGGGGAUGAGGAGGAUGAAGCAGAUGAAGAUGAAGCUGGUCCACCAGGAGAGUACAAAGAAGAUGAAGAUGGUGGAGGUUCAGAUUUGGGGGAGGGGGAAAAGGAGGAAGAAGCUGGCCUUUCAUACCUGAUGAUGGACAAGAUCCAGGUAGGACUUACCCUAUUCUACUGUAAGGCUCAGGAUUUUCUUGAUACUAUCUAGCUAUAAACGUGUAAUAUUUUAAACGUUUAUAAGCAUAGUCAUGUAAAUCCACUAUCAUAUGUGAGCGAUAGAGUACUUUAGAGAGAGACCUUUUACUAUCAAAGAAGUGCGUUACAGUAGGGGAACCACCGCUCUUUGGUAUUCUCCGUUACCUUGCUCAACAUGAAAUGCUGCAAGAUUCAUUACUUCACGGCCUUGUAGAAUUAGUGUCAUUCUGCACCAGAUCACCAAGUCCAAUUUGGAGGAGAACGUGGCCGAAACAAAUCCACCUGCCCUACCAGGAUGCUCACAAGUGUCUGGGGCGCUUCAGCCUUGAGAGCCAUGUCCUCACCAUGCAGAUCUGCAGGUUGUCAGGUGUGGGGCUGGGGCUUCCAGGCAUGGGGGAGAGGGUGAGUAUGGAGGAGCUAGGGCCUGAGGGUGCAGGGAGCUGAUCAGGAUGUGAGGGCUGAGGCAAAGGGGAGACAGGCUGGGAAUCCAGGAGUGAGGGCUGGCCACUGAGGAAGAAGUCAGGGAGAGGCUGGAGCUGUGGCCCUGGGAGUGCCGUGGGUUCGGCCAUGCAGGGGAGAGCUGGGGUGGGGAGCGGAGACUUGCCUUGGGUGGGAGCGCAUUGCCCUUGCCCUGGGUAGGAGCACAGGACCUUGAGCUCCUCUUAGUGGAGGGAGGUGGGUGGGGAGUUGGAUCCUGGCAUUUUGGGGAAGGAGAAGGGAUUGGACGCUCCUUUCACCCCACUUAUCUCAGGGCCCUUUUCUUUCCUUGCCAGGGGGGCAGAAAACCCAUGUGAUGUUUGCUGAGCUGACCUGCAGGGAGCCUGAUGGACCCAGGAGAUGGGAACGGGGCUGUGUUGGGUUUGCUGCUCUGGGAAGGAAGCGAGUUAGAGCAGAGCAGGCGUGAGGACCAGGACUUGCAGGUUGUGCCCUGCUCUGGCUCUUUGAAAGGAGUGCUGUCCAGCAUGCCAUAGUGAGGGGCAUGGUUUGGGAGGACUCCUGGGUCCUGUUUCUAGCUGAGGGAAGGAGGGCAGGGGGUGGGAGGAAGGCUCUGUGGCUCAGGACUCCUGGCUUCUUUUUGGGAUCUGUCACUUCCCCAGAAUGAACCCACAAAUGAUCUGUGCAUUGAAUCAAUUGAUCCCUUGGGUGAUGCUGUCAGCACGUACAUGGAGGUGAGUGGAAGCAGCGCGGUGGGAGGUGUCCACUGCCCUGAUCAGAGGAGGCUGGGGUUGGGGGAAUACUGGGCCCAUGGAUCGGAUUGAAGGGUGGAUGGCGAUACUGGGCUGGGGUGGCCUCAUGGGUCCCAUCUGUCAGGCAGAGGAAGGUAGUAAUAGGUGCAUGGGUCAGAUCUAGGCUGGCAUGGGGCUGCAGGGAAGCAGAAGGGUUACUUGGCUGGGGGUGGACCCGUGGGUCCCACGGGAGGGUUUGUAUACUACAAGCAGGGCCCUCCUGCCAGGGUCCCCGUUGGGUCCCAGUCGUGCCCUUCCCUGCCCAGCCCUGUCCUGGCAGUGGCUGAUGGGGAAAACGUGGGGUCUUUCCAUUCUCCUUCAGUAUGGAAAUGACCUCUGCUUUGCCUCCCAGCCCGCUCGUGCUUUGCCUCCUGUCUCUUCACAGCGGUUAUCAAUGUGAGCCAUGAUGCACGACUGAUCACGCAGACCAGCUGCCAGCUCUGGGUGGUGGAGGAGCAGUCCAUCAGCCAGAUCAACGGUGACUUCGACUGCAAACAGGAGGUGCUGGAGGCCUCGGGCCAGGGUGAGAGUUUUCUGUAGACAAAGCAUUGGACCCCAUGGACGUCCUGAUGAGGAUGAGAAAUCAGAGCAAUGACUACAUAGCGAUGUGGAGCGUCAUCUUGGGUCACGUGUGCUUCCAUCCUGACACUCGGUGAGCAAAUUCUGUCUUCCAGGUUCAGUCGGAGGGAAGGAAAAUCAGUGGAUGAUGGCACUGCAGGGUGCUGGACUCUCAGAUAGUUUCUAAACUAAACAAAAGUUGAAAUACCCCCCGGUGCUCAUAAGGGAAAUGCACCUUUGUGAGAUGUUUGUCAUGGGGGACAGUGGGCUUUGGCCAAAUCUGGGGAUUUGUUUGGGGGGUCUCUACAAAGGCACGAGAGAGAGGCAGAUAGCAGAGGCAGACACACACUGUGGGUAAAUGUGAUUCCACCUGACUAGCUGGUGUUUCACAUAACCUACAUCACCGUGCUACAUUCGCAACUACAUGGGCUCAUUUUGUGAUGUUUCUAGUAAGUGGGGGAGGUCGAGGCAGCAGCAGCCAGGGAGCAGGGAGCAGAUUUGCAUGAAGGAACAGAUCUUGGUCCGGGAGUCAGAGAGAGACUGGGAGGGUCCCAGCGAGAAGCUUCCUUGGCUCAGGAAGCUGACCUAGUCUGGAUUCCCACCAUAACCCCUCUCCUCCUUGUGCUGCUCACGUGCUGCUCGGGUAACUCAUCAAAGGCCGUGUGUUCCAGAUGACUUUUGCAGACCUUCCUGGGAUGAACAGAGAAAUGGGGAGCCCGCUGUACGAGAGGAGAGUAAAGGAACUGCCUUGUCCUACCUUGUGAGAAGCAGACCGAGAGUGGAGAUGACUGCUCUCUGCGAUUACAUCCAAGAGAGCCAAGAGCCAUGCAGAAGAAAAGGAGAGUGCCAGCUCCAGAAAAAAUUAUGUCAAAUCAAGGAAAUGGUCAACAGAGAACUGCCACGCUCAUCACAUGUACGCGUGUCUCAGAAGCCAGUAAAGGCAAGAAAGCUACACAGACGGACAAAAAACUAGAGCUCUUCCUUCCAAAAUGAUAUCUUUCGUUACACCAACUGGAGAAUCACAAGAAAAUUGUCCUUUUCUGCAAGCUUUCGGGAUCAAAGUCCCUUUGUCAAGCUCUGGGAAAAGUAUAGGUGGUACAAGAUGGUAAGGAGUCCCUAUAAGUAGGAAAUCAACUUCAUUUUUGCACGGAGGGAGCUGGAGAUGGAAGACUGUCCCUCUGGGUCCGUGAGAGUGUCUUUGUGAGCUGUGCCAAGUAGCUCUUUGCUGUGUUGGUCAGGUAGGACUCCUUCCCUGGAGGUGUCAGAUGGCAAGUGGGGAAGUAACAAAAACUUCCUUCUGGUUCUGCAAUGAAGUUUAAAACCCCAAAAAGAAAGCUACAUACACAUUUCAAUUGACAUAGCAGCUACAGGGAACAAAA
Molecule: long non-coding RNA, 6092 nt
Organism: Alligator mississippiensis (American alligator)
Lineage: Eukaryota; Metazoa; Chordata; Crocodylia; Alligatoridae
Exons: 5
Source: RefSeq, a predicted model, not a curated record